This 121-nucleotide microRNA precursor is filed under the name Hordeum vulgare. RNAcentral describes it as "microRNA MIR1122". It matches the Rfam family "MIR1120/MIR1122 microRNA precursor family". The record is from RNAcentral. Lineage: Eukaryota; Viridiplantae; Streptophyta; Magnoliopsida; Poales; Poaceae.
AAAAUACUCCCUCCGUCCAGAAUUACUUGUCGGAGAAAUGGAUCUAGACGAAUUUUACUUCUAGAUACAUCCAUUCCUACCUAUUUUUGCGACAAGCAUUUCCGGACGGAGGGAGCGGCAG